ACAGUGCCUGAGACAGCUCAUCUAAACCUCACUGUAACGCAACACUCUCUCUUCCCAAAGAAAAAGACUCCACUGAGUAGCAGAAUGCUGCCAGUGUCACAGCUAGGGCUACAAUACAGAGCCUAUUUGUAACAUUUUUUAAAUCUCUUUCUGUUCAUACAUUUAGAGAUACAUAAAUACACUCAUAUAGAAAUUCUUCCUUUUUUGAGGGCACUUUUGGCUUUCAUUACCCUGAUGUGACUUCUUCUUCAUUUUGGAAUGAUGGGGAUCUUUCUAGCUUAUGUUGGAUUCAUUUUUUUUUCAGUUAUGUAUGUUCAGCAAGGACUGUCUACCCAAGCAAAGUUCACUGAGUUUCCCCGAAAUGUCACGGCAACUGAAGGGCAGAAUGUGGAGAUGUCUUGUGCUUUCCAAAGUGGCUCCACUUCAGUGUACCUUGAAAUCCAGUGGUGGUUUCUGCGGGCUGCUGAGGACCAAGAGGUUGGAGCUGAGGUGACAGGAACUCAGGUGGAGCUCCUGCCCGAACGGGACCUGGAGAGCGACGGCACGAAGAUAAGCACAGUGAAAGUACAAGGGAAUGACAUCUCCCACAAGCUGCAGAUUUCAAAAGUAAGGAAAAAAGAUGAAGGCUUGUAUGAGUGCAGGGUGACCGAUGCCAACUAUGGAGACCUUCAGGAAUACAAGGCCCAGGCAUAUCUCAAAGUCAAUGCUAACAGCCACUCUCGGCGAAUGCAGGCCUUUGAGGCAUCUCCAAUGUGGUUGCAAGACAUGAAACCUCGCAAAAACAUCUCAGCAGCUGUUCCAAGUAGCAUCCAUAACCCUGCCAAUCAACGUGUGCGUGCCACCUCCAGCCCUGAAGCAGCAGCCAAAAUCCCCAAACAGAGUCCACAAUCAGGUUAGCAUUGAAGAUUACAAUUUCCUAUCUGCAGGAUGGCAACAAGCAUAUGCAGUGGCAAAAAACAAACAAACAAACAAACAAAAAAACACAAAAAAACAGUUCUAAACAGUCACGACUACCUCUGAUCAUCCAAAAGAAUAAAAUCAUCUGAGGAGCUUUCAAAGAAAAAUCAUCUGGGCAGAUGGCACAAGAUCAGCUGAUGAACCCACACAUCAAGUAUCUACUGUAGAUGAAGCAGCUAUACCUAAGAACGAAAACUAUAUAGGUAAUCAAGGUCUCAACAAAGCCAGCCAACCACUGGGAAGAUUUCAUUCUGUACUCACUAUAAUCAUUCCAGAGAAAGACAGGUGUCCAAUGAGACAGAAUCAACAAAAAACAUAUUUGAAGAGAUUCAUAGCAAAUCAAACAAAAAAUAUAGCAUAAUAUAUCUGAAGAAAAUGUAUUAUAUACUCUGAAGAUAAUAAAAUGACAUCACAUGUUUUUGUUGUGAUGCUGAGAAGUGCUAAGUGCAGAUUUGGGCUCAUUACUGAUCAGCACCAUUUCCAGAAUGUAGCUAUUAGUUAGAGCUCUAACUCACGAUGGAGCUGGGAUGGCUAAAGUCACCAUACCCUAUGUAACUGUAUGAAUAAUUGAUAUACAUAACAAAAUGCAAAGUAAUACUGGACAUUUGUAAUGGCUAUACUAAAAUCUACAAAUCCAGUAGAAAAAGGUUGUGGUUUUUUUGUUGUUGUUGUUGUUUGUUUUGUUUUGUUUUGUUUUUUUUAAGCUUGUCAGAAUGCAAGUAAAUCUUCCUUUUUCAGGAUUGAAGAUAUCAAACAACCACCAGUGGUGAGGAAUAAAAUAACCUCUAGACAUCUUAUUCCAUGAAUAUUUUUCCAUAAGAUUUAUUUUGCCAUUUUGCCUAUCUUUGAGAAACUGUAUAGAUAUGAAUACUACUGAACACUGAAUAAAGAACUGGACAGAAUCUAUUAUGUAAUAAAGAAAUGAAGAGUGCAGAAAUACCAGAGGUUUUGAACUGUCAAUAUAAGUAGGAGCAUGGACAUGGCAAUUACUGUAAAGCUGUAUGAAUCAUAAUUCUAAACUUUCCUAAAAGUAGUGUUGUUUCAAGCAUUUCAUUUUUUUCACAGAAUAAUUCCUACAACCCAAGAAGUAUCUUCUAAAUAACUGUGAAAAAAUGGCCUUAUCUGAAGUACAUUAUAAGCUUUAAAAGGAAGAAUUGGUGAGCUUAAAAUAAUUAUGAACAAUUUAUUGUCAACAGUUUAUAGUGGGAAGGAAAGUAGAGCUAGUGGCUACUUCAAGAUGUCACAAGUAGAGCAUUAGUACAGGCAAUUUGAGGCAAUGUAGCUUCUUUUGAAUUUUAAAUUGAUAAAAUAAUUUAAUGAGGUUGAUAGAUGUAUUUUGAUUUGACUGGAAAUACAAACAAAUAAUCAUCACAUGGCAAUAAAAUGUGGAAAUGACAUUUCUCUCAUCACAGACAAAGUUAUUAGGCCAUACUGCUAAAUACACAGUACUCUAUCUAGGAAAACCAUACCUUGUAUUCACCUUAAAUUAUUUAAUCUCUCUACUCACCCCAUAUUUUUACAGAAAUAACCAGUUGAGACUAAAUCUUAACUCAGUCACAAUAAUCUUGCUGUUAAUUCUCUUGAGCAGGAGGCAAAGGGCCGUGUAUGAAAAUGGGGGAACAUAGAAAUUAAUGCAUAAAGUCUAAGUAAACUCUGACUGACAUAUAAAUUAUCAUCUCUUCCUUGCAGAACGGAAGGAAACGUGGAAGCACACUUUGCCUUUUGGCAAUCCAAGCUUCUUAUCUUUCCUUUUUUCCCCUUCAUUUUAUUUUCUUUUUUUCUUCCCAUUCAUCUAUUGCAAAGUAACAUAUAAAUAUGAUUUGCUCAAUUAUUAAUCAUGUAUCAUUCAAGUCUAGCAAGCAGCUUGAGAAAUAAAAAUGCACAGAAGACUUAGAAUUAAAUCCCACUUCAGGAGUUUUACCUAAAAAUAGCCAGUUCCUGUAUCAGCCACAUCCUGUUCAUUAUAUCACCGAAGUACCCGACUGGAAUUCUAAAUAUUCACAAUCCAUAAGACACACUCACUUUAAAAAAUAGUAAUAAUUAUUGAAUGAUUUGAUAUGACCCCACUCAAAUUCAUCUGUUUUCCCCUGCCGCACAAUUACAAAGAGAGAAAGAUUGUGCUGUCAAAAGUGUAUGUAAAGACAUUCAAAUGGAAGGAUUUGUCAGGUCAGAUUACAUAAAGAAGACAAAAAUGAUCUUAUUGAGAAGGCCUGAUUAGAUUUCAUUAAAACACAAAGUACCCUAUAAAAAAAGAUCCACGUAAAUUUGAAAAUCUGCAAAUUCUGAAAAUACUGGUUGAUUCUGGGAGAGAGGAAAUAAAGGUGGGAGAACCACACUCCUAGGUUUAUUUCUUCUUCCAUAAGAUCUUCUCACAAAAGGAGGCCUUGAAUCCCUUUCUCCAAGACUGAGUGCAAAUUGCAAGAUUUUGGUAUAGUAAGGAUGGUUUCUGCAGGAAGAGGGGGGGGGCUGCCCCAUGCCAGACAGAAUUGAUUCCGGCAAGCUCUUAAAUAGACCCACUUCUGGCCAAAGCUGAGUCCAUGAGAAAACAUGUUAUUAAGAAAGGUCAGAAAAUGCUGAUAAGAAAGAGCUCACAAAUUCUCAGUUGUAGAGUGCAUGAUCUGACGUGCAACUGAUUUUUUACAUUUAAGAAAGUCUUUCUGUCUGUGACAAAAGGCUUUUUGCAAAUGUUCUUGAGUGUAGGAUUAGAUCUCAGAGGCAAGUUACUCAAAAACAUAUAUCACGUGUGAUAUACUUUCUAAAAUGUGUCUUCCUUCCUGGUUCAUUACAGGUUAAAGUGAAAACCAAAAUGGUACUGCUUAAGUGGUCCAGGAUUUUGAGUUUAAGUAAAAUUGCAUAAUGAUCUAAUUCCCAUCUGAUGAACAGUAACAUCCUCUUUGGUCAGUCUAAGAGUUUGGGGCACACACCUCCAAGCCACACAAAAAGAAGUUUAGCCUUCUUGUUUUCUUCCAUUCAGUCAAAACCUCUUCGGAAAAAAAUAAUCCGUUUUUCCUUGCUUCAAUGUCUUUAAGAUUUCUUGAGUGAGUUGCUGAUGUUUAAAUGUAUAGAAAAGAAAAGACCUAGCUAAUAGAGGCUGAUAGAGAUUUGUCAACAAAAUGGUCAUAUAUGAAAUGCAGUCUUCAUAAGCGACAAUCACAAAAGUACACAAUCAACAGUCAUCCACAAAUUAUUGCUAUGUUCAUGGUUGACUACUUCAAGGGAACUAGUGGUUCUCGGAUCACUGCUUGUCACUGACUUGAUAAGAAUGAUUGUUCUUUUCUAUUUUCUUCCUUGUUUUGCUUUUCUGUAGUGUGGUUUGUUAAUGGGUCCUCUGAAAGCUUAUUAAUUCAUGCAUUUAUUUUCUAUUGCAGUCCCAUAGGUCUCAUGGGAAUAAAAUCAAAAGUGAAGAAGAAGCUUUUAUGUGUCACUCAACUAGAAGUAUUUUUCCCAAGAUGGUAAUGUGUAAGAUUGCUUAGCAUACAAAGAUGAGGGUGAGAAAAAAAGACAACGUCAAGUCAGAGAGAGGAAUUAGUAUUAUUUUUCUUAGAACAUCACCUUCUAAAAUUGAGAGGGUAGCAACAUUACUGGUGUCUGGAAGUCUUCAAGGGCAAAGAUUUGAAUAGCAGGGAAUUUCAGAGUUAGCUAGACGCUGGAGUAUUUUGUGAAGGAAAAAUCAAUGUAACAGAAUCCCUUCAUUUGUUAUUAUGAGAAGAAAGAUGAGAAUAAUGAUGCUUCAACUAUUUCAAAUAAUAAUAUGAUUAAAUUAAAUAGUUACUUAACAGAAAAUAUACUGCUAGCUGAGAAACAACACUUAAAAGAAAUAGGAAACUGGUUACAUUUAGAAUUUAGCCUUCAAAAUACAAAUUCCAACAUCUUCUGGUGACUAUAUACAUGGACCACAAUUUUUUCUCAGUUAGGUGAGGGACUUCAGAGUUAAAUUCUCAGAAUCUGUUUUGAAACUGAUUUUGUGGAUUCAAAUGGCAGGUAUCAUGAAUUAUCCCCUAUACUGCUAUAUCAUGAUGUUCAACUAUUCUUAGGAGCCAUGCUGAGCUGUGAUAGCAUUAAAAAGCAUGGAUGAAAUAACUAAAACAGACUCAUACAGCUGAAGGUGAAAAAGUACUAAAAAGAAACGUAGCACCUGCUAAAACAAAUGGGAAACAAGAAUAAAUCUUGGUAGUUGUUUAGUGAAGGGAAAAUAAAGUGGAAGAUAAAGAAGAUUCUCAUAGGAAUAAAUGUAUUAAAAUGUUUUGGAAGAAAAUAAAAAUAUUGAAUAAAUCUGCUCAACAGUUAACUGUCUUUGCCCUUAGAUCUGAGUCUAAACUACUGCAGUGAUUCUGGUUACAGUAUGUGACAGAUGAAGAAAACAGAACAGAGACAAAAAGGAAAAAAUUUGCAUGGAAUGGUUUUCAUUGAAGCAAGAGCAGAUGCAAAAGACCUUGCCCAAACUGAUGUGGAUCUUUAAAUUUCGUAUAGAUUGAUUGGAAGAUUGAAAAAGUUCAUGGAAUAUAAAUCCAUGCAGACACAUGUAGAGUCAGGAGAUUUCUAAAGUGAAAGUAAGAGGAGGCUGAAAUUAGUAUUAGGCGGAAUUAGGCAUACAGGCAUAUAUAUAAAUAGGCAGUAUUAGGUCAUAAAUUUAUUUUACUCUUCCUUUUUUCAAUGCAUUCUAUUUUGGAUGAUUAUGGAUACAGCACCCAUCUUGAUCUUCAGCUUGAGCUUCAACAGGUUAGAAAAAUGUAGUAAGUUCUUUAAGUGCUGUCACUCGCUGAAGUCUCUCAGUAAAACUGUAGAUGAAUCUCCAAAACUAAUUGACUAUUUGAAAUCAGUGAACUUAAUAUAUUCUGAAUAACUACCACAGAAGUUCUUAAGAUUGUUAUUUUAUAGUCUGAAAACUUUCCUUCUAUUUCUAUGAGAUUUGAAAGGGAGAUUUAUUCAUUUAUUGAAUUACUGAAGCACCUCAAACUUCUGGCCUUCUGCCUGUCUCUUUUGGCAAAGUAUUCCACCUCGCUUUUUCCUACCACUCUCAGCUUCUUGGAGAUUUUUUCUUAUAUGCAUUGAUUUUUACAGUCACACUGAAGUCACAUUCUGUUUCACUUUUUUUUUCUUCUUUUUUUUCUUUUUCUCCCUCUUUGCAAUACUUUUCCAAUGAAGCCUUAAUUUGUGAAGAUUUUUUUUUUUUUCCUGGAAUUCAGAUUCUCUUUUAAAUCCUAUGCCUUUCAUUAUUUAGGGUCACUUCCAGAAUCAUUUAAUGCAGCUGAGAUAAGAAAUUUAUCAAUGUCUACACAGAUAGCAAUACAUAAACAAGUAUUUUAAAGUUUUGCUGAUACCUGGAGAAUAUUUACAGAUUAAUAAAAAACAGCAAUCGACAAAACAAACAAACAAACAAGAGCACUAAAUAACCAUUGAAAUUACCAAUGAAACAUUUCCCUCCUCCCAUUUUAAUAUUAAAAUUUUAUCUCCAAACUGUUCAUGUAGACAUAGUCAUAAUUUUCCACUGUUAUGCACAGAGAAGCAACAAUAAUUCAAUAAUUUUAAGACAAGUCUAUCAACUUCUCAACUUAAUUUCUCACAUGGAUAUUUUUUCUCUAUGUAAUUUUUUUUCUGUAUUUUGACAUGAUGAAGUAACACAAAGCUUUCCGUUGAAUAAAAUCAUGAACCAUUAAAUGUUUUUGGUUGUUUUCCAAGGUGGUGAAUUUGACUUUAGUAUUCAAUUUGGCUAUUCUGCACUUUGUCGUUGCCAAUAUAUCACUUCUUUAUUUUUCUUUCCUGAUAGAGUUUCCUAUUAAUAAUAGUGACAGCUUACAUUUAUAUAGUCCUUCCUCUUAAGCUGUCCUAAUGCACUUUUAAAACUAUAAUUUGAAUAACUUUAUCCUCCAUUGAAUUUAAUCCACAUCUCAACUGGAAAAGGGUAACUAUUUAGUUAUUCUGCAACAACUUCUCAGUAGUUCAAAGUAGAAGAGAUCAAAGAGAAAAUAUAUGAAUAAGCUCUCAGAUAUAUGCAAUCUAACUAGCUAAAUUAAGAGGUCUCUACUCUGACUUUAUUUUAACAAAAGAGACCAAGGAUAUUUAUUAAUCAUAAGAAGCCAGAAAGGAUUGUUUUAUUUGACAUUUUAAUUCUUUGGUUUGCUAUUCCUUUGGUUUACCAUUCCUUAAACAAAUCAUUGUUUUAAAUUUACACUUGUUCAUAAAAUUUACCACUUGUUCAUAAGACAGCAUACUUAUAUCCUGCUUAGGUUAUAAAUUUAUUAUGGCGUUAAGAGAUUAUCUUGUGUUAACUUUGAAAAUACUGACUAAAUGUGGCAUCAAUGGCUGCCAGCACUGGUUUCAAAAACAGCAGUAUUUUCAUCAUUCAGCAUUACAGUGGCAGUCACAGUUGGUUUCCAUCAACAAUUCCCUUAUUCUAGGAUCAGUAUACUUUGAUAAUCAGAAAACUUUGAUUUAAUGCUAAAUUAGCCUUGACUCACACAGUGCCUAUCUGUGUAAUAGUUUAAAGUUACAUCAUCUUCACUGAAAGCACUAUGUAUUGUGGAAACUCAGAAUUACCUAUUAGCUUUCUUAAUUCUAAUUGGGAAAGAUUUCAAAUGAGUUCUAAAACUAGCAUACCUGUGACAAAACUCAGUGAUAUUUGCCACCUGAAAAGGCACCUAUCUUAAACACAAGCUCAUACAUACAAUAAUGCUAAAAUGUUGGUUUCUUAAAAUUAGUUAGUAUUUCGUCCUCAAAAGAAGAGAAAAUAUAUUACUUGAAAAAACAGCAUACAGAAAAGUUGCAGUAAAUAAUUUAUUUCUUUAUUCUUUAUGCAAUACUGUAUCAUAAAUAUCAUCUAUCCAUUACUUGCUCUAAAUUUUUCUUUUAUACCCUCAACUAAAUACCUAUUAUAGCUAGACUAGAAAUGAUUCAAUGAACAGAGUUGCACUAUAUGGCCAAGGCUUUUCCCAGUCUUUAUAUUCUCUACACAAAUUUGAUAGCUCAAUGAUCUCUUUCUGCAGUGUUCUUUUUCAUUUAAAACUGGCUUACCUCAUUAGGGGCUUUUAGGAGCAUAUUAGACAGUUUUCAGAAAGGUUAUUGUGCAAAUCAUUUUGCACUACAGGAAAGAACACAUUGAUUCUCAAGGUCUCUUCAUCGUACUUGCUUGGCUUUUACAAAAGUUAACAAUGAAGUAAAAUAUAAAACAUAACUUGGACAAUUUAGAGCAUGUGCUUGUGCCAUGUCAUGCCAGUGUAAGCUUUUACAAUCGAUUGCAAAUUAUAGCAUUUGGAUGUUGUGUUGAGGGACAUGGUUUAGCGAGAACCACUGGUGAAGGGUGAACGAGUGGUUGGACUGGAUGAUCCUGUGGGUCUUUUCCAACCUUAGCGAUUCUAUGAUUCUAUGAUUCUAUAUAGGAUUAAGGGAAAGUGUAGUGAUUAUUCUAAUCCAUAUUCUUACAUUCUUUUAUAGUUGUUAUCAUUCUAGCAUAAAUUGUCAAAGAGGUGAUGAUUAUACAUAUUGCGAGUGUUUUUCAAACCUAUUUGGACAUAUAUGCACAUUAUAGAGUAUCAGAUGGCAAUGGAUAAUCUAAGUUGUUAAAUGUAUUUUGAAAGCUAUGUUUACAGACCAGAUAGCUGCUUGGUGAUAUGUUAAAGCACAGACAUCUGGAUCAUUAUAGCAUCUGUAUGAACAAAAAACAUGUUGUUGAUUUCACAGUCAUUUUUGACCUCUGAAUAAUUUCAGUCUGGCUGUGCAAGAAUUCCAUUUGAAGCAGACUACAGUACUAUAACCACGUCAAUUAUUGUCGGCCAUGAAUGUAUGGCUGCUGAAUAAGUGAGUAACUCCUUCCAGAACUGGUAUUUAGUUCUGGCAUCUGUUUUCCUUGGCUUCUUUUUAUGCUGACUCUGCCAGCUUCUUAAAUUACUUCUCUUUUCUCCUCUGACACUUUUCCUUUGCUUUUAAAUUUUCCUUAGCUAGCAACAUACUAACCUGACUGCAUUUUGUGGUCUCAUUUUUCAAAUUCAGUUUGAAAUCCAUCCUAUAAUUCCAAUACGACUGUUUCAAGUUUCAGCAUAUUGCUUAAUGUUAGUUCCCCACUGUCAUAGCUCCAGGAAGACAGAGCAGUGAAAAUAAACUUGGAGAGGUCUGAAUUCAUUGCAAGAGGUGAAAAACCUGGGAUAACAGAGACAUUUUCCUUGCAAGUACAAAUUCCUUAAACACAGUUAACAAACAAAAAAAAAAAGUUAAGACACCAAAAAAGACAUUAAAAACCUGAAGUUUAACAGCACUAGAAGAACUGCAAAGGUAUAAAAAAAAAUAUUUUAAAUGAUAUUCCUGUCUCUAUGCUCUGGACAGCCUGGUCCAGUGGUUGGUGACUCUGCACAUAGCAUGGGGGUUGAAACUAGAUCAUUAUGGUCCUUUACAAUCCAGGUCAUUCUAUGAUUCUAUGAUUCUCUAAAAAUGAAAACAGGUUUCCAAUAGGUUUUCAUUGCCACAUCAGCUCCUUCUCUUUUAAUUGAAAGAAAGCAUAUUUCACCUGUAUAUACUGUAAGAACCUAAAGAGCUAACAAACUCAAGUACCUUAGAAUCUACAGGCAGCACUGAAUCUAUCACACAGUAAAAUAAGAGAUUACAAAACCCAUAACACUGCGUGAUACUGCUUAAAACUACAUAGAAUCUAGCAACCUCCCAUGAAACAGAUCCAGCUUCAGGUACAGCAGUUUAUGAUGUAAAUGCACUGAUAAUGGCCAAGAUCAGAGACAAAAUAUGGGUUUAUAGGAUCUCCAGUGUUAACUUCAAGGGGCAUUCUUAAUGUUAAUCUAGAACUCUAAUUGGGUUGUCUGUCCAAAAGGAAAAAAAAAAAAAAAAAAGCCAAAAAUUCAUGUUCAAAUAACCUAUCCACUUAAGGUCAUUAAAAUGACUAAAAUUGAGACACUGUAUAGAACAACUACUAUCAUAUGACAACUGUAUUCACUGUUCCCUUCAGUAGUAUACUAUGCAAAUAUGUAUAUAUAUAUAACAUACAAUGUAAACAGAAAGCAUCCUAAAUGAAGACCUUGGAAAUAGAAAAUGGAAGAACAAGAACAAGUAGUAACAAUGACCAUUAUGAUUAAUAUUUUUUUAGGCAGAUGUACAUGCAGGUGCAGAUGUAAUUAGAAGCUAAUUUUUUGGAUAGGCUGAGGAACUGCAUUCUGUAAUAAUAAGAUAGAACAGAAGCUCUUGAGGUAGCUGGUUUGUUAGAUUCCUGGAUAAUAAUUAUUUCAAAGCUGUUCAGAUACUGAUGCCAUCACUUUUGGCAAGAAAAUGAGGAUUUUCACAAAAGGAACUAUUAAGGUACUAAGAGGUGAUUCAAAUUACCUAUUUUAUUGCUACCUAUUUAGCAUUAAUUCAACAAUGGUCACAAAGCAAUGUAUUUAAGACUCUUGAAAAAGUGCUGAGGUUCUUGUGGAUUCUUUUAGGAUAUGUAGGCAAAAAUUAAAGGAAGCCGUAAGCUUUCAAGUUUUUUUAAAGACUUCAGAAGAUGGUUCCCUCCUCAUUUCAGUGAAUGUCUGUCCUCUGGAAUCUUCUUUUAUUCACUGAAAGAAAAGCCAAAAAUUUCAAAAUUGCCAUUGAUAUAAAGAGUAUAUUUUUCUGUCUUUAUCUGUAGUAUUAAUACAAUUUCAUUUCAUCAACACUUUCCUCUGAUUUUUACAGGUCCCUUCUAGUUUAUAGUAGAUUACCAAAUCUUGGAGUGCAAGGCUGUUGAGCCAGUUACAUCUUCUACUGGGUUCCUCCUCUACUUUUCCACAUGAAUAUGAGAGAUUUUUCAGUGCUCCAAUAUUUUCUAAUCCUAUGCUUCUUUCUCUUAUUUAAAUAUGAACUUUGUUAGCUUACAAGCGGACAUGAUAUUUGAAACUCCAAGUCAUAAUUCACUUUCAGAUUUGAAAGAGAAAUAACAAAGUUGACUUAGGGAAUUCCAUCAAAAUCCUGCAAUCCAACUUGUGUAUUCUGCAUGUAGUAAAUAUAUGCUUUCCCCUUCUGUCUUUUCCCAAGUGAAAUUAAGUUGUACUCUUAACGUGACAACAGUUCUUUGUGUAUCUCUCUGUUGUACUUCAUCUUUGAAAACUAUGGCCAUAAAUUCCAAUAUUUCAUAGAAAAUUUAAUGAUCAUUAUGAUAUACUUCUAGAGAGAAGUGGAGUAGAAAAGGUUGGUAAAAAAGGAGAAUCAAACAGGCACAUAGGUCAUUUGGCCUCACAGGCUUAAGAAUUUUCUUUCCUCUGCCAAGACAGCACUUGAAUACAAUAAAGUUAAUCCCUUGCAGCAUAUCUAAGCAACACUUCCCAGACGUUUUAUGUGCCUUUUAAUAGAAACGUAAAGAAGCAUAUCAUUAUUUCUUACUCUCUGAAUAAUAUCAUUAUUUCUUACUCUCUGUAUUACUGAAUAAGUAAUUCAUAGACUGUUACUGAUUGUGAGCAAUGUUACUAAUAAUUUAAAUGGCAUCAAGAUAUUCAUUUUAUUUUCUAACACCACCAAUUCUUAUUUUUGCUACUGGAUAUCAGAUUAUAGAAUAUGAAACAGGUAAAAAUAAUAUGCAGGGAAUUCUCUUUGAGAAGGAUUCAGAAGAGUAUUCCUAAAAGAAAUAACUUUGAAUUCAGGCAUGAACUGUUAUCUUCAAAUGUUUCUUUUCCACUUUACCUAUAUUUUCACUAAACUACGUACUGAAAUAAAAUUGUCAUUUAAUGGA
RNA transcript from Gallus gallus (chicken), 11641 nucleotides. It is a transcript of the gene named V-set and transmembrane domain containing 2A, with no coding region annotated. The transcript is spliced from 6 exons. Lineage: Eukaryota; Metazoa; Chordata; Aves; Galliformes; Phasianidae. The record is from RefSeq and is a predicted model, not a curated record.